AACGAACGCUGGCGGCAGGCCUAAAACAUGCAAGUCGAACGGGUGUAGCAAUACAUCAGUGGCGCACGUGUGAGUAACGCGUGGGAACGUGCCCUUCAGUACGGGACAACGUCGGGAAACUGACGCUAAUACCGUAUAAUAUCUCCGGAUCAAAGAUUUAUCGCUGAGGGAGCGGCCCGCGUCUGAUUAGCUAGUUGGUGAGGUAAUGGCUCACCAAGGCUACGAUCAGUAGCGGGUCUGAGAGGAUGAUCUGCCACACUGGGACUGAGACACGGCCCAGACUCCUACGGGAGGCAGCAGUUAGGAAUAUUGGACAAUGGGGGAAACCCUGAUCCAGCCAUGCCGCGUGUGUGAUGAAGGCCCUAGGGUUGUAAAGCACUUUCGUUGGGGAUGAUAAUGACCGUACCCAAAGAAGAAGCCACGGCUAAAUUCGUGCCAGCCGCCGCCGUAA
RNAcentral lists this ribosomal RNA (451 nucleotides) under uncultured bacterium. RNAcentral's name for it is "partial 16S ribosomal RNA". It matches the Rfam family "Bacterial small subunit ribosomal RNA", at positions 29 to 523 of the family's 1533-position model. The record is from RNAcentral.